Molecule: ribosomal RNA, 485 nt
Filed under: uncultured bacterium
Lineage: Bacteria
Description: partial 16S ribosomal RNA
Rfam family: Bacterial small subunit ribosomal RNA
Source: RNAcentral
AUUGAACGCUGGCGGCAUGCCUUACACAUGCAAGUCGAACGGCAGCGGGCCCUUCGGGGUGCCGGCGAGUGGCGAACGGGUGAGUAAUGCAUCGGAACGUACCCGGGAGAGGGGGAUAACCGGCCGAAAGGCUGGCUAAUACCGCAUGAACUCGGAAGAGCAAAGCGGGGGACCUUCGGGCCUCGCGCUCUCGGAGCGGCCGAUGUCCGAUUAGGCUAGUUGGUGGGGUAAAGGCCCACCAAGGCGACGAUCGGUAGCGGGUCUGAGAGGACGAUCCGCCACACUGAGACUGAAACACGGCCCAGACUCCUACGGGAGGCAGCAGUGGGGAAUCUUGGACAAUGGGCGCAAGCCUGAUCCAGCAAUGCCGCGUGGGUGAAGAAGGCCUUCGGGUUGUAAAGCCCUUUCGGCGGGGAAGAAAUCGGUCAGGCGAAUAGUCUGGCCGGAUGACGGUACCCGCAGAAGAAGCACCGGCUAACUACGUG